GUCAAGUGAUUUAGACCUGAGAUCUAAAAAGGCCAACACAACCUCAGGAGAUGAGGCCAUCGACACCUUAGCAGCAAAAGAGAUGCUUCUAGAGGACCUGACGAGCAGACCUGGUGGGCAGGACGUAUUAGAAGAGCACCAGACAACCAUCACAUUGGACCACAGAACCAGGAGAGAGAUGAUGAUUGCCACAUGAAAGAGAUGCGUGGACUGGGACAAUGAUAUGUUCUCCCUGCUGCUGCUGCUGCUUCAUCUCAUCCCACAACCAGCAGGAGGGAAGAGGAUCAAGAUCAGUGCCAGUAAUGCUGUGGGCAGACUAGUGCACUUUCAUAAGGUAAGUGACUUAAAAAAGAUCCUUUGUGUGUUGCAGUCAUGCUGCAGCAUUGAAGACCAUCUUGCUAGGAGCCAUGGUCGACAGCCAUACCUCCUUGCCGUCGGAAGAAGACAGAGCGAGAUUGACAACUACUACAUCGUGGUGGACAAGAAGCUUGUUCCCUGCUAGAGCACCACUCCUGACUGCCAUCCAGGACUUCUAUACCAGGCGGUGUAAAGGAAGACUCCACUCACACAAGCCAUAGACUGAUC
This is a long non-coding RNA of Oncorhynchus tshawytscha (Chinook salmon), 585 nucleotides long. The record is from Ensembl. NCBI's taxonomy places the organism in Eukaryota, Metazoa, Chordata, Actinopteri, Salmoniformes, Salmonidae.